Molecule: ribosomal RNA, 401 nt
Filed under: uncultured bacterium
Lineage: Bacteria
Description: bacterial SSU rRNA
Rfam family: Bacterial small subunit ribosomal RNA
Source: RNAcentral
AAUCAACGCUGGCGGCGUGCCUUAGACAUGCAAGUCGAACGAUUAAACUUUCCUUCGGGAAAGAUAUAAAGUGGCGCACGGGUGAGUAACACGUAGGUAGUGUACCUUUGGGUGGGGAAUAACCAUCGGAAACGAUGGCUAAUACCGCAUAAUGCAGCGGCAUCGCAAGAUGACAGUUGUUAAAGAUUUAUCGCCUAAAGGGCAGCCUGCGGCAGAUUAGGUAGUUGGUAAGGUAANGGCUUACCAAGCCUGCGAUCUGUAACCGACCUGAGAGGGUGGUCGGUCACACUGACACUGAAUAACGGGUCAGACUCCUACGGGAGGCAGCAGUCGGGAAUUUUGGGCAAUGGGCGAAAGACCUGACCCAGCAACGCCGCGUGAAGGACGAAGUCUUUCGGGAU